This 308-nucleotide ribosomal RNA is filed under the name Clostridioides difficile. RNAcentral describes it as "bacterial LSU rRNA". It matches the Rfam family "Bacterial large subunit ribosomal RNA", at positions 637 to 944 of the family's 2925-position model. The record is from RNAcentral. Lineage: Bacteria; Bacillati; Bacillota; Clostridia; Peptostreptococcales; Peptostreptococcaceae.
GUAGCAAGGUUAAGCACUUAAGGUGCGGAGCCGUAGCGAAAGCGAGUUUUAACUGAGCGUUCAGUUACUUGACGUAGACCCGAAACCGGGCGACCUACCCAUGAGCAGGAUGAAGCGAAAGUAAAAUGUCGUGGAGGUCCGAACCCACGAGCGUUGAAAAGCUCGGAGAUGACUUGUGGGUAGCGGUGAAAUUCCAAUCGAGCCCGGAGAUAGCUGGUUCUCCCCGAAAUAGCUUUAGGGCUAGCCUCAAGGUGAGAGAUACGGAGGUAGAGCACUGAAUGUCCUAGGGGGUAUUGCACCUACCGAAG